AACGAACGCUGGCAGCAUGCCUAACACAUGCAAGUCGAACGAGACCUUCGGGUCUAGUGGCGCACGGGUGCGUAACGCGUGGGAACCUGCCCUUAGGUUCGGAAUAACUCCCCGAAAGGGGUGCUAAUACCGGAUAAUGUCUUCGGACCAAAGAUUUAUCGCCUUUGGAUGGGCCCGCGUUGGAUUAGCUAGUUGGUAGGGUAAAAGCCUACCAAGGCGACGAUCCAUAGCUGGUCUGAGAGGAUGAUCAGCCACACUGGGACUGAGACACGGCCCAGACUCCUACGGGAGGCAGCAGUGGGGAAUAUUGGACAAUGGGCGAAAGCCUGAUCCGGCAAUGCCGCGUGAGUGAUGAAGGCCUUAGGGUUGUAAAGCUCUUUUACCCGGGAUGAUAAUGACAGUACCGGGAGAAUAAGCUCCGGCUAACUCCGUG
This 433-nucleotide ribosomal RNA is filed under the name uncultured bacterium. RNAcentral's name for it is "partial 16S ribosomal RNA". It matches the Rfam family "Bacterial small subunit ribosomal RNA", at positions 29 to 507 of the family's 1533-position model. The record is from RNAcentral.